RNAcentral lists this transfer-messenger RNA (328 nucleotides) under Ureaplasma parvum. It matches the Rfam family "transfer-messenger RNA". Rfam says of the family: Bacterial tmRNA, also known as 10Sa RNA or SsrA, is named for its dual tRNA and mRNA-like properties. Its role is to liberate the mRNA from a stalled ribosome. The record is from RNAcentral. Lineage: Bacteria; Bacillati; Mycoplasmatota; Mycoplasmoidales; Mycoplasmoidaceae.
GGGGAUGUCACGGUUUCGACGUGACACAUUAAUUUUUAAUUGCAGUGGGGUUAGCCCCUUAUCGCUCUACGCUUUUGCGUACUAAUUAGUUAUUAGUAGAAACGUUCAUUAACAUAAUUACUAUUGGUUGGUUUUUGGGCUUAUUUUACAAUAGUUUUAAAUUUAAAAUUCUUAUUUGUUGUUUAAAUUUAAAUAGAUUUAACAAAUAGUUAGUUAAUUUUAAAUUUGUUUUAUUAGUUAUUAACUACACUAUUUUUAAUAAAACUAAACUGUAGAUAUUAUUAAUUAUGUGUUGCGGAAAGGGGUUCGACUCCCCUCAUCUCCACCA